UGCCGCUGGGCGCCGCUCCCCGCCGGAGCACGUGGGUUUGACACACGCUCGGCGGCGGGAAGAGCGGCACCGAGCGGCUCCUCCUCACGCCGGAGCGGCCGCGCUGAUUCUCUCCCCCCCCCCCCCCCCCGCCCCUCUCCUCAGCCCCACAGAGGGGCAGCGGCCGAGCCGGGCACCUCUGCGACACCCCCCCCCCACCACCACCACCAGUAUACAGCCCUCGCUGGGCGCCGUGGGGUUCCCCCCGCCCCGCGCCCCCUCAUGCAACCGCGGGCAGAGGCAGGCCGGUGCCGGCGGUGGGCUCCGGGCCUGGGGAGGGGGCACUUGUGGAGCUACAGGGCAGGCGUGUGUGAAAUAAAUCGACGGCGAACGUUUGCCCACGCGGCGUCUUCGUUUUUUUUUUUCUCAAAGUCUCUGCCCCGGCCCCGGAGAAGGGAACGCGUUGGCGGCCCCGGCUUGCAGGCCGGCAGCACGGGUUGCUUUCUGACCCACAGGCCUUGGCAGACGUCGAGGCUCUGUCCGCCUGAGGGGGAAGAAGGGAAGGCAAAGGCCUUUGGAACGCAUCAUGGAGGUUUCUCAACAUUUUCGAACUCGCGGGGGGGGUUUCGUUGUAGUUGAGUUUCCCUGGGGUGUUUCGGUUCGCGGAGUCACCUUCAACUCGCCACCUUCAAGGAGGGUUGGCAGAUAUUUCGGGAAGGUGGAAGCCCCGUGAGGAAUCGGAUACCUGCACCUCGUCCUCAGAGGAGCGAGUGGUGGACAGCCCUCCUCAGCCAGGGACUCCUGUACUAAAAUGUUCCCGUGACCCAGAGCCAUUCCACAUAUUUUGGAGAGUCAGCCGGAGGGGAAAGAAACCUUUAGUGCUGUUCUGGAGCCAGAGAAAAGUAAAAGGGAAGCCCCAAAGCCACUUCCUCUCCUAGUUUUAACAGUCCCUAUGUCCUGGCAGUUCUCCCUACCGUCAGCCUUCCGGAUACUGUCAGAAGAAGAGUCCAGGUGUUGUCAGCUCUGGGAUCUAGGAAGUGGUGUGGCCAUAACAGAGGAGCACCUAGACAUCUUAAUCCUGUCCUUCAUACUGUCAAAGAAUACCUGGAAGAAGCCUAAUAAAUGUGGAAAUACUUCAAACUUUUUUUUUUUUUUAAAAUAACAGUGUUAAUUUUAGAGAACAUUUUGGGCCAACUCUGAAGCAGGCACUGUUGUGAAGAAAUCAUCAGUAUAAAUUGUGUUCUGCAAGGGGAAAAGAGACACAAACACGAUUUUUUUUAAGAAAAAAUGUGUGCUAUAUCUGUGUCAUUCCCAUGUUACCUUUAACUAUUGGAGGUUUAAGAAAGAAGAUAGCUGAUUACUGCUAAAGCUCUGUGAGGAAGAUCGCCAGUUUCCCAGGGCUGUAUUUCCGUGAUUUAAGUUGGCAUUUUGCACUUAAGUCUUUGUGACAACUAUGCUUUCCUCAUCACCCCAUCUUCUGAACUUUGAGCAACUGAAGGCCCCAUGCAAACUGAGAUGAGGCUGCCCAGCUGUGCAGAUGUGAUUGUGUCCUGUGAUGUGGGAGCAGCUCCCUUUCUCCACCUGGUUGUGGUAUGCAGCUACAGUCAAGAGAAGCGUGCCUUGGUUGGCUCCUGAGCAAUGUGCCAUCUUUUCUCCUGCUUCAAGGCUCACAGAUGUAGUUGGCUGGUGGACUGAUCAGCUGGAUCCAGCCUCUGUCUUUGAGGAGCUGAAGAGAAUGUGUGCACCAUAUUGCUUGUGAUGAAAUAUAGCAGGCCAGAGAAGAUGGUUGUGAUUCAGAGAGAACACAUCACUGAAAACCAUAGACCUAGCUGGUACCCUCAAACUGUGGGAUCUGCCAUCUCUGGAAAAGCAUGUACCAGGCUUGAGCCUUGGAGAAAGUUGUCUGCUUGCUCUUGGUGGAGGCUGAAGUUGUUCUGCGCUGCCUUUUUGGACUGGGUGAAUCUGGGAAGCUGAGUGGCAAACGGUAACCUUUUCCUCUGCUUUUAGCGAGCAUCCAAGCAGCACUGCCUCGAACGCUGCCAGCGAGGAGAGACAGGGACGGGCAAGAAGUUCCUGGUGCUGGAGAAGGGAGCGGGUCUGGCUCAGCAAGCAGACGGGGAGCCAGGCCUGCGGAGGGGGCCGGUAGAAACAUGGGCUACAGCUGGUCUGUUGAGCAGGACGGGAGCUGGUGAAGAAAAGGAUAUGGGCUGGAGGGCAGGGAGCUCUGAGGAGGGAGAAGGAACUGAAGAAGGUUUCAUGCCUGCAGCAUGGACAUAGCAUUAGAAAACAGAGCGCCAAGGUGCUCUUUCCUGCUCUCCUCCCUCCCUUUCCCAUUUUCUUGGCUUCAUCACCUGAAAACUGAAUCACAUAUCAGCUGGUGUGAGGUCUGGUUAAGUGGCAUCCCUACCUUUCCCUAAACUGCUUGGGCAGGUACCCCUAACUAAGUCUGUAUCCUAGUGCAUUAAGGGACAAAUCAAGGUUAUAUAUGAAGGUUGUACUCAGUGUGAGCUUCUUUAUAAACAACAGCAAAAAUUUUCAUUGCUUGGCUUCAACAGUUUUAGCAUUUGUAAGGUAUUUGAGUGCAGAGUAUACUACAUCUGGUAGAAAAAUAGCUAUUUUCAUGCUGUGAGUACUUAUUUUUCCACUUGGGAUACUUUUUCUAUCAUUUCAGUAAGAUACUCUAGUCUUCAGUCCUUACUGAAAGAGAGAGAGAGUCCAGACUUUCAUGGUGUAAAUAGGCAUCACUAACUUAAGGUUUGCAUUUCAAGGUUUAGCUUUACCACAAAGUACUGUAUAUUCUUCUUUUGGGAAUCUACAUUCUUGUUCAUAUAUACAAUAUGUAGCCUCUGUUCCUCAAAAAUAAAUCUUAACCAGUUGUGAUCAUGAGAUAAACCCCAACACUUGAAUUGCCUGACUUUGAAAAUGACUGGUAGCACCUUUUAUACUUGAGUGCAUAGGCAUGAAACUGGACCCUUUGGAAUAAUGAAGAAGUUAAAUGAUAGCCCAACUGAAAAAUUGUCAUCUGUUAUUGUGACAGAUUAUUUAUGCUCGAGAAUGAUUAGUGAAUGGGGGGAAAGGAAGGUGGCAAACAUCAAAACAAGUAAUUUAUCCUAGUGUUCUUAGUUUUCCUACCUUUUACAUAAGAGUGCUGGACGUAUUCAUGUAUCAGUGAGAUGGAGGAACUUCCUUCAUCAGCGACCAACACAGUCCGAUACAUCCACAGCUAGAGAGGGACAAUACUAGGGACGCCAGUUAUGCUGCCUCAGGGGAGAAGGAAUGUAAUUUCAGAGAGAGCAGGGCAGGAGGACAUCAGCAUGUAACUACCCUAGCAGAAAAUCGAUAUAUUUCUGAGCACAAAGCCACUUGUAACUUUUAAUAUUGAGGCUGCCAAAUACAGUGGGAAGUUAGUUGCUUUUGAUGC
This is a long non-coding RNA of Aquila chrysaetos chrysaetos, 3400 nucleotides long. RefSeq lists it as uncharacterized. NCBI's taxonomy places the organism in Eukaryota, Metazoa, Chordata, Aves, Accipitriformes, Accipitridae. The record is from RefSeq and is a predicted model, not a curated record. The transcript is spliced from 6 exons.